Molecule: ribosomal RNA, 431 nt
Filed under: uncultured bacterium
Lineage: Bacteria
Description: partial 16S ribosomal RNA
Rfam family: Bacterial small subunit ribosomal RNA
Source: RNAcentral
AACGAACGCUGGCGGCAGGCCUAACACAUGCAAGUCGAGCGCCCCGCAAGGGGAGCGGCGGACGGGUGAGUACCGCGUGGGAAUAUGCCCUUUGCUACGGAAUAGUCUCGGGAAACUGGGGGUAAUACCGUAUACGCCCUUUGGGGGAAAGAUUUAUCGGCGAAGGAUUAGCCCGCGUUGGAUUAGGUAGUUUGUGGGGUAAUGGCCUACCAAGCCGACGAUCCAUAGCUGGUUUGAGAGGAUGAUCAGCCACACUGGGACUGAGACACGGCCCAGACUCCUACGGGAGGCAGCAGUGGGGAAUCUUAGACAAUGGGGGCAACCCUGAUCUAGCCAUGCCGCGUGAGUGAUGAAGGCCUUAGGGUUGUAAAGCUCUUUCAGCUGGGAAGAUAAUGACGGUACCAGCAGAGGAAGCCCCGGCUAACUCCGUG